CACUGACCUUAGGGUAAAACUAAGUUUCCUACCACCAUGCAUAAUACCUCCACUAGCUGUGCACAGGUACCUAUCCUCCUCAUCUGAACCACUUCCCAUCUUGUUUACCUUACUUUGGGUAUCUUAGUGUUUGUGUCUUAAAAUUCUGUUCUGUGUUCCUUUCUGCUCGGCAGCCUUCAUAUAUUUUGGUCUCUCCCAGGAGAGCACUUUUCACAUCUUAAUUCACUCACUUAGCUCACUCAGUCUUCAGAUCUCAGUUCAUUAUCAUUGCCCUAGGGAGCUCUCUUCAUUAUUCCUGUCCCUUUCUCCCCCAGAACUAAAUCAAUUCCUCCUGUUCCAUUCUCUCCUGGCUCCUGUACUCAGGACAGCUGACAAUUGUUCCUUGCCUGGUGAUUGCCUGUAUCACCCACUAGAAUAUGAGUUGUAUUAAAAUGAAAACAACACCAGAAGCUGACACACAGAUUGGGAUGGAGAAAAAUAACAGACUAAAUGGCUACAGGACUUGGAGGAACAGAAACUUCUGCCUGCAAAGGACUGGGACAAAGAGGCAGAUAAAGACCAGCCACCUGCUUCCAGCAUUGCUCUCAUGGCCACUGGGAAUUCAACUUGAAGGCCUUGGAAAACAUUUCUGAUGACUCUGGAAUGGAGGAAAAGCCCAGUGGUUCUGGUUGGAUUUCAUGUAGAAAACCCUCCCCUUGUUUUAUAGAAGCCAGAGCAGGGACCAGUGGUGUUGUAUAGAGCUCCCCAGGGUUGCAGGUGAACUGAUGUGUCUAUUCGAGGUUACCUCUGGUCAUCUACAGCCUGAGAUUAAUGGGUCCCCAAUCCUAAUGCUGCAAUGGUAGUUAUCACGCCCAGAUUUUCAUCUUAAUCCGUAGAGAUGAGCACACAUCAAAAAGCUCAGCAGGCUGGCCCAGAUCGUUAUGAUAAUGAUUAAUAACAGGCUUGUAGACGGUGCUUCUGCCUGCACGGCUCACCAUUGCUUUUAUGCAGAAGACUCCAGUGCACAAAGGUAAAAGGGAGGACAACAGCAGCACUGGGGACAGAUGGAUUUCCUUAAGUAAAUCAGUUUCUCUAUAAUCCAAAGCCUAGGUUGGAUCUGAAUUCCAUGCCUUGUAACUUCCUUUCAUAUAAUGGAUCUGAAAGUCAGUUUGGCUAUGAAUAUCGAUAAAAG
This 1171-nucleotide long non-coding RNA is filed under the name Cricetulus griseus (Chinese hamster). Its description in RNAcentral is "lncRNA (ENSCGRG00000026637.1)". Lineage: Eukaryota; Metazoa; Chordata; Mammalia; Rodentia; Cricetidae. The record is from RNAcentral.